CACAACGAACGCUUGCGGCGUGGAUAAGACAUGCAAGUCGAACGGGAUCAAUCGGAUUGGGUAACCAAUUUGAUUGUCUAGUGGCGGACGGGUGCGUAACACGUGGGAAUCUACCCUGAAGUGGGGGAUAGCUCGCCGAAAGGCGAAUUAAUACCGCAUGAUAAGGAAACUUCAAAGCUGGGGAUCUUCGGACCUGGCGCUUUAGGAUGAGCCCGCGGCCUAUCAGCUUGUUGGUGAGGUAAUGGCUCACCAAGGCUCUGACGGGUAGCUGGUCUGAGAGGACGAUCAGCCACACUGGAACUGAGACACGGUCCAGACACCUACGGGUGGCAGCAGUCGAGAAUCAUUCGCAAUGGGGGAAACCCUGACGGUGCGACGCCGCGUGGAGGACGAAGGCCCUAGGGUCGUAAACUCCUGUCACCAUAGAACAAGGUUCACGGAUUAAUACCCCUGUGGAUUUGAUGGUAUAUGGAGAGGAAGGUCCGGCUAACUCUGUGCCAGCAGCCGCGGUAAUACAGAGGGACCAAGCGUUGUUCGGAUUUACUGGGCGUAAAGCGUGCGUAGGAGGCUGGGAAAGUCUGAUGUGAAACGUCACCGCUCAACGGUGAAAGUGCAUUGGAAACUAUUCAGCUCGAGGAUUGGAGAGGAAAGCGGAAUUCCAGGUGUAGCGGUGAAAUGCGUAGAUAUCUGGAGGAACACCAACGGCGAAGGCAGCUUUCUGGACAAUUCCUGACUCUGAGGCACGAAGGCCAAGGGAGCGAACGGGAUUAGAUACCCCGGUAGUCCUGGCAGUAAACGAUGCUCACUAGGUGUCGGUGGAUUCGACCCCAUCGGUUGCCGUAGCUAACGCGUUAAGUGAGCCGGCAUGGGGAGUACGAUCGCAAGAAUAAAACUCAAAGAAAGUUGACGGGGACCACGUACAAGAGGGGGGAGUAUGUGGCUUAGUUCGAUGCAACGCGAAGAACCUU
Molecule: ribosomal RNA, 968 nt
Filed under: uncultured organism
Description: bacterial SSU rRNA
Rfam family: Bacterial small subunit ribosomal RNA
Source: RNAcentral